This is a long non-coding RNA of Tripterygium wilfordii, 1475 nucleotides long. RefSeq lists it as uncharacterized. The transcript has 6 exons. Lineage: Eukaryota; Viridiplantae; Streptophyta; Magnoliopsida; Celastrales; Celastraceae. The record is from RefSeq and is a predicted model, not a curated record.
CUAAUACAACACUCACGGUUCCUCCUAGCAAAAUUGCUCAAAGCCAAGCAAAAAAAAUACAAAAAAAAUUAAAUACAAGAAAACGAAAUGUCUCCAGCCUGUCGUAGGUUUCGCUGAUUUCGGUUAGCAAUCGAAGAGAUGAACCAUCAUCGUCUCACAGCGAUCACCCGAUUCAUACUCAUCCAGACGGCCUCUUCAUCCUUUUAUCCUUACGAAUCAUACCCAUUCUCUCCCUUGCGCCUCCUCUUCGUCUGUUGCUCUCUCUCUCCCUGUGAAUCUCACAACCCAUUUGGGUCUCACGCAUAGAGGUCUGUGGUUGGCUAGACUGUUGUCUUUCGUCCUUCCAUGUUCUCUGCUCUGUUUGUUUCAUUGCUUCACCGGAGCUGCCAGGCGAUUCAAAGGUUGUCGCAUUGAAUGCACUCUAUGAGGGGGCUUUGUUAGGAGAUGCGAAGGAGGUCUGUGCCAGAGGGGAUACUAUCUGAGAAUGGUCAAAGUUAGCGAACCUAAAAGGAUGAAAACCAGUGAAAAGCAAGAUAUGAAUGGUGAGAGAAACCUAAGAGAAUUACCUGAUGUCAGUCUCCAACACAUCCUUUCUUCAAUUUCAACAAAGUCUGCCGCGAGAGAAGGUGUUCUGACAAAAAGAUGGUAAUCUCUUUGGACAUUUGUUUCGAAAUGCGAUUUUACUGGAUAUGAAAGUAAAAUAGAACCCACUCUAUGGAAUGUUUUGAUUGAGCACUUGCACUCCAUGAAGGUAGUAUUAUAAUACGCUACUCUAUUAUGAGUGAUGUGCUAGGUGAUGCAGAUUGCGUUAGAAGAUGGAUUACAAUUGUAGCGAGAUGGAAUGUUGGAGCCAUUUGGUAGUAUAUUUAUGAGCACCACAACAGUUCUUGGUCCAUCAUUGGCUCUUGAUGGCCACCAUAUUCUUCACUACUUCUUCCAUAGAAGAGUGGGAGAUCGGAUCGAGUGGGGUUUCUCCCUCGGAGAUAGUGCCUGCUGUUGCUUGUGCUGCUCCAAAUGUUUCUCAAUCUGCAGUAAAGAUGAAAUGGCCUCGACCUCUUGACAUUCAUACUUCUGGAAUGGUGGCUAUUGGCAGGACACAAAAGCUAACAUAAUGACAUGCAAGGUAUACAGAUAGAAAAAAAGGAUCUACAGUGCUCUUUUUGGAACCGAUACACAUUACAAUUAUUGCUCCAACUGGUUAUGUGUGAUGCUGACAAUCCGGCUGGAGAUCCAAUCCCGACCAACAAGAGUGGUGCUGCUGCUUGAUAUUCAGCCAUCGCGAUGUUGUUGUCGAAGUACCUUGGUAUGAUUGUCUCCCAUGUGAAGUUGACAACUGUCUUAAAAGGAGAUUGAAUACUUCGUUCUUUAUGUUGUAUGAAGAAUAAUGAGCUGUACAAUUCUGUAAAUUUAUUUUUCCGUGAUAAUGAACGACAUUUAACGCACGGGAGGAAGAGAAAAGAAUUUGUCAGACAUAA